This is a long non-coding RNA of Ictalurus punctatus (channel catfish), 1250 nucleotides long. The record is from Ensembl. Lineage: Eukaryota; Metazoa; Chordata; Actinopteri; Siluriformes; Ictaluridae.
CGGGGAGGUUUUUUCCCCCUUCGCCUACAGGUUUCUGCUCGGAUAGGACACAAGACCGCGGUCUGGACGAAGGCACACAAGGGAACAACACAAUCUAGCCAAACAGCUAACACUGCGCUUCACAAAUGCACUGUCACGCUCAGCAUCUUUCUGCCAGCAGCAUGAACACCGAGCUGCUUCACCUGGAAGGACUGCACACUCUUUCUAACAGCACAGAUGUGCUCAACAUCACACCGUGUGAACGCAGUGUGACCUCACGCCUAGGUUUGUUUCUCUUCACAGUAUGUCAUAGGCUGAGGUCAAGUACUUGUUGAUACUGAUAGAUCCCAAACAUGUUGUCUUCUUGUUGUUGUUGUUUCUUUUCUGGGUUAGGCAUAUUCAGCAUGACCUUAAUGCUGCUUAUGUCAUCUGAUAUCAUGACGCAUCAGGCAUCAUCCUGCACAUGUUCCUGCCGUCAGAGCAUUUAGGAGCCUGCGCCUUUUAAGGACGGGCGAUAUAGACUUAAAACUAGAUCACGAUAUUCCAUGGUAUUAUUUUUUGCGGUAAUGAUAUAAGUGACGGUAUGAAAAUAGUAACGUUCAACAGUGUCUUUUUGGCCACAGGUCACAUCAGCAUGCAGUCUCGAGAGCCAUGCAAACAUUGAUCCGAAAAAAGUAGAACAUAAUCCUGACCCUCAUCAGAUACUAAACUAUAGCAGUUAAGUAGACUUAAAAAAUUUGGAUAUGAAUUUUAUUCACAAAUUAAAAUUCCCAUGAAAAUGCAAACAAGACAAUACUUGCAGGAUUCAUAAUCUAACCCUAGGGGAAACAUGGAAAUGUAAAAAAAAAAAAGCAACAACAAAAAACAUUUAUUCUGUAAAAGUGCACGUAAUAUUUAAAUAGUGCAAACUUAACAAGCCUUAAACUAUGCUACUAGGUUGCAAAACAUCAAAACCGUAUAUAAAUUCAAUAAUGAUUCAAAUAAAGUUCAAGUUUGAAAUGUAAACUAGUUAUAUACUAUUUAUAUUAGUUGGGCGGUACCUUCCGAUAACUGAUUAAUCAGCCGAUAGUUUUUAAAAUAAAUACUGAAUGAAAACAUAACACUCAAGGUAAAAUAUUGCUGAACUUUAUUACAAAAAUAAACAGUAUUCCCCAUACCAAAUAAACUGUUAAUAAAUAUUGAAGUAAAUAAAAGCUAUACAUCUAAACUGAACCAAAAAGUAACACUUCAAAUAAGAAAUAAAAAUAGAGACAUCCAAAAUGCAUUAAAAA